Molecule: long non-coding RNA, 212 nt
Filed under: Lathyrus oleraceus (garden pea)
Lineage: Eukaryota; Viridiplantae; Streptophyta; Magnoliopsida; Fabales; Fabaceae
Description: Pisum sativum (pea) long non-coding RNA (PSAT_LNC000839)
Source: RNAcentral
UGAAGUCCUCCUAAAUUCAUCUCCAUAUGACCGUAAUAGACUAUAUUUCUUACUUGAGUCUCCUUCUACAAUUUGUCUAUCAAGUUUCCUAGCUUUGAAAGCCUUACAACCAGUCAUCUUAGUAGCAAACAUCAACCUUACAUCUGACAUUACUUCACUUAACUUCAUCUUAUUAUUGUUCUUCAACUUGUGUACAUCUUACACUACUUCAU